This 734-nucleotide ribosomal RNA is filed under the name uncultured Fusobacterium sp. RNAcentral's name for it is "bacterial SSU rRNA". It matches the Rfam family "Bacterial small subunit ribosomal RNA", at positions 28 to 776 of the family's 1533-position model. Lineage: Bacteria; Fusobacteriati; Fusobacteriota; Fusobacteriia; Fusobacteriales; Fusobacteriaceae. The record is from RNAcentral.
GAUGAACGCUGACAGAAUGCUUAACACAUGCAAGUCUACUUGAAUGUGGGUUUUAACUUAGGUUUGGGUGGCGGACGGGUGAGUAACGCGUAAAGAACUUGCCUCACAGCUAGGGACAACAUUUAGAAAUGAAUGCUAAUACCUAAUAUUAUGAUAAUAGGGCAUCCUAUAAUUAUGAAAGCUAUAUGCGCUGUGAGAGAGCUUUGCGUCCCAUUAGCUAGUUGGAGAGGUAACGGCUCACCAAGGCGAUGAUGGGUAGCCGGCCUGAGAGGGUGAUCGGCCACAAGGGGACUGAGACACGGCCCUUACUCCUACGGGAGGCAGCAGUGGGGAAUAUUGGACAAUGGACCGAGAGUCUGAUCCAGCAAUUCUGUGUGCACGAUGAAGUUUUUCGGAAUGUAAAGUGCUUUCAGUUGGGAAGAAAGAAAUGACGGUACCAACAGAAGAAGUGACGGCUAAAUACGUGCCAGCAGCCGCGGUAAUACGUAUGUCACGAGCGUUAUCCGGAUUUAUUGGGCGUAAAGCGCGUCUAGGUGGUUAUAUAAGUCUGAUGUGGAAAUGCGGGGCUCAACUCUGUAUUGCGUUGGAAACUGUAUAACUAGAGUACCGGAGAGGUAAGCGGAACUACAAGUGUAGAGGUGAAAUUCGUAGAUAUUUGUAGGAAUGCCGAUGGGGAAGCCAGCUUACUGGACAGAUACUGACGCUGAAGCGCGAAAGCGUGGGUAGCAAACAGG